UGGGGAAUUUUGGACAAUGGGCGCAAGCCUGAUCCAGCCAUGCCGCGUGAGUGAAGAAGGCCUUCGGGUUGUAAAGCUCUUUCAGGUGGAAAGAAAUCGCACUUUCUAAUACAAGGUGUGGAUGACGGUACCAUCAGAAGAAGCACCGGCUAACUACGUGCCAGCAGCCGCGGUAAUACGUAGGGUGCGAGCGUUAAUCGGAAUUACUGGGCGUAAAGCGUGCGCAGGCGGUUAUGUAAGACAGAUGUGAAAUCCCCGGGCUCAACCUGGGAACUGCGUUUGUGACUGCAUAACUAGAGUACGGCAGAGGGAGGUGGAAUUCCGCGUGUAGCAGUGAAAUGCGUAGAGAUGCGGAGGAACACCGAUGGCGAAGGCAGCCUCCUGGGCCAGUACUGACGCUCAUGCACGAAAGCGUGGGGAGCAAACAG
RNAcentral lists this ribosomal RNA (428 nucleotides) under uncultured bacterium. Its description in RNAcentral is "bacterial SSU rRNA". It matches the Rfam family "Bacterial small subunit ribosomal RNA", at positions 355 to 775 of the family's 1533-position model. The record is from RNAcentral.